Molecule: ribosomal RNA, 253 nt
Filed under: uncultured bacterium
Lineage: Bacteria
Description: partial 16S ribosomal RNA
Rfam family: Bacterial small subunit ribosomal RNA
Source: RNAcentral
UACGUAGGGAGCAAGCGUUGUCCGGAUUUACUGGGUGUAAAGGGUGCGUAGGCGGCUUUGCAAGUCAGAAGUGAAAUCUAUGGGCUUAACCCAUAAACUGCUUUUGAAACUGCAGGGCUUGAGUGAAGUAGAGGUAGGCGGAAUUCCCGGUGUAGCGGUGAAAUGCGUAGAUAUUAGGAGGAACACCAGUGGCGAAGGCGGCCUGCUGGACGAUGACUGACGUUGAGGCUCGAAAGCGUGGGGAGCAAACAGG